UACGUAGGGGGCAAGCGUUGUCCGGCUUUAUUGGGCGUAAAGAGCGUGUAGGCGGCCAGACAGGUCCGUUGUGAAAACUCGAGGCUCAACCUCGAGACGCCGAUGGAAACCGUUUGGCUAGAGUCCGGAAGAGGAGAAUGGAAUUCCCGGUGUAGCGGUGAAAUGCGCAGAUAUCGGGAAGAACACCCGUGGCGAAGGCGGUUCUCUGGGACGGUACUGACGCUGAGACGCGAAAGCGUGGGGAGCGAACAGG
This 253-nucleotide ribosomal RNA is filed under the name uncultured bacterium. Its description in RNAcentral is "partial 16S ribosomal RNA". It matches the Rfam family "Bacterial small subunit ribosomal RNA", at positions 524 to 776 of the family's 1533-position model. The record is from RNAcentral.